This 424-nucleotide ribosomal RNA is filed under the name uncultured bacterium. RNAcentral describes it as "partial 16S ribosomal RNA". It matches the Rfam family "Bacterial small subunit ribosomal RNA", at positions 360 to 776 of the family's 1533-position model. The record is from RNAcentral.
AAUAUUGGACAAUGGGCGCAAGCCUGACCCAGCCAUGCCGUGUGUGUGGAGAAGGUCUUCGGAUUGGAAAGCACAUUAAUUUGGGCGGAAGGGCAGCUAACGAAUACUUAACUGUUUUGACGUCACCAAUAGAAUAAACACCGGCUAACAUCGUGCCGGCAGCCGCGGUAAUACGAAGGGUGCAAGCGUUAAUCGGAAUUACUGGGCGUAAAGCGCGCGUAGGUGGUUCGUUAAGUUGGAAGUGAAAGCCCCGGGCUCAACCUGGGAAUUGCUUUCAAAACUGGCGGGCUAGAGUACGGUAGAGGGUGGUGGAAUUUCCGGUGUAGCGGUGAAAUGCGUAGAUAUAGGAAGGAACAUCAGUGGCGAAGGCGACCACCUGGACUGAUACUGACACUGAGGUGCGAAAGCGUGGGGAGCAAACAGG